Molecule: transfer RNA, 74 nt
Filed under: Faecalibacterium sp. CAG:1138
Lineage: Bacteria; Bacillati; Bacillota; Clostridia; Eubacteriales; Oscillospiraceae
Rfam family: tRNA
About the family: Transfer RNA (tRNA) molecules are approximately 80 nucleotides in length. Their secondary structure includes four short double-helical elements and three loops (D, anti-codon, and T loops).
Source: Rfam by way of RNAcentral
GCCUCGGUAGCUCAGUUGGUAGUAGCAGGGGACUGAAAAUCCCCGUGUCGGUGGUUCAAGUCCGCCCCGAGGCA